ACAGAUUUUGGAGUACUGCAAAAUGAUUUUCUGAAUUGAUGAACCAUGGACUCUAAGCUGGAUAGACAGAGAAAUGAAAAGAAGGGACUAAUAGGGAAUAAGACGUGUGAUCCAUGGUCCGAUAGCGCUGAUGGACGUGAAGAUCCACUGUUGUGGGAGGAGUGGAACACUAACACUAAAUGAUGGGGGCUGUGGUCAGAAACAGCUGAAUAUAACUGGCCAGUGCAGAAGAGCCUAGUGAAGGUGGAGAAUGGGGGAAGGAGGGCCCCAUGCUGGAGAAGUGAUGGAGAUUUGAAGUCUUGGAAGGUGGUGGUAAGGGAGAUGCCAGAGACGAGGCAAAACCUAGUACUCUGUUAAACAUCUGUAAUCUAACAGUCUUCUAUGGGAGUUUAUUAUAUUUCCAUAUCCUAUGUUCACUUAUAGUGAGAAAUAAAAAUAAAAUCUUAAGCCCCCCACAACGGAUUAAAUGGAUCCCAUUGUGAAAGGAAAAUACCUUGAGCCUCCAAAAUCACUAAGGAAAAUUCAAGCUGGAAACUGCUUAGGGCAAACCUGCCUCCCAUUUUCUUCAAAGUUAUCCCUCUGCUCACGGAGAUAGAGGCCUAUCUGAUUGCCGCCUUUGGAAAGGCUCAUCAGAAACUCAAAAGAAUGCUACAGUUUGUUAUCACCUUUGUGUGACCUGGAAGCUCCCUCCCUCCCCGCUUGAGUCUUCCUGUUUGUUUCAAACUGUCCCGACUUUCCAGACCAAACCAAUGUACUUCUUAUGAAUAUUGAUUGAGGUCUCACGUCUUCCUAAAUCAUAUAAAACCAAGUUGUGCCCCAACCACCUCGGGCAUGUGUCGUCAGGAUUUCAUGAAGCUAUGUCAUGGGCGCGUUCCCCAACCUUGAAAAAAUAAACUUUCUAAAUUAACUGA
Molecule: long non-coding RNA, 911 nt
Organism: Rhinopithecus roxellana (golden snub-nosed monkey)
Lineage: Eukaryota; Metazoa; Chordata; Mammalia; Primates; Cercopithecidae
Exons: 2
Source: RefSeq, a predicted model, not a curated record